RNAcentral lists this ribosomal RNA (777 nucleotides) under uncultured prokaryote. Its description in RNAcentral is "bacterial SSU rRNA". It matches the Rfam family "Bacterial small subunit ribosomal RNA", at positions 28 to 797 of the family's 1533-position model. The record is from RNAcentral.
GAUGAACGCUAGCGACAGGCCUAACACAUGCAAGUCGAGGGGCAGCACAAGGUAGCAAUACUGAGGUGGCGACCGGCGCACGGGUGAGUAACGCGUAUGCAACCUGCCUGUAACAGGGGAAUAGCCUCUUGAAAGAGAGAUUAAUGCCGCAUAAUACGAGAUUCGGGCAUCCGGAUUUAGUUAAACAUUUAUGGGUUACAGAUGGGCAUGCGUUUCAUUAGGUAGUUGGUGAGGUAACGGCUCACCAAGCCGACGAUGAAUAGGGGUUCUGAGAGGAAGGUCCCCCACACUGGUACUGAGACACGGACCAGACUCCUACGGGAGGCAGCAGUGAGGAAUAUUGGUCAAUGGACGCAAGUCUGAACCAGCCAAGUCGCGUGAAGGAUGAAGGUAUUAUGUAUUGUAAACUUCUUUUGUCAGGGAAUAAUGGGUGUCACGUGUGACGCAGAGGAAUGUACCUUAUGAAUAAGCAUCGGCUAACUCCGUGCCAGCAGCCGCGGUAAUACGGAGGAUGCGAGCGUUAUCCGGAUUUAUUGGGUUUAAAGGGUGCGUAGGCGGUUUAUUAAGUCAGUGGUGAAAGUUUUCGGCUCAACCGGAAAAUUGCCAUUGAAACUGAUAGACUUGAGUGUAAACGAGGUAGGCGGAAUUCGUGGUGUAGCGGUGAAAUGCUUAGAUAUCACGAAGAACUCCNNUUGCGAAGGCAGCUUACUAGGCUACAACUGACGCUGAAGCACGAAAGCGUGGGGNUCAAACAGGAUUAGAUACCCUGGUAGUCCA